This 72-nucleotide transfer RNA is filed under the name Veillonella montpellierensis DNF00314. It matches the Rfam family "tRNA". From Rfam's summary of the family: Transfer RNA (tRNA) molecules are approximately 80 nucleotides in length. Their secondary structure includes four short double-helical elements and three loops (D, anti-codon, and T loops). Lineage: Bacteria; Bacillati; Bacillota; Negativicutes; Veillonellales; Veillonellaceae. The record is from Rfam by way of RNAcentral.
GCGCUUGUAGCUCAAUGGAUAAAGCGUUGGUCUCCGGAACCAAAAAUCCGAGUUCGAUUCUCGGCAAGCGCA